ACACUCAUGUUCUGUUUCUCUAAUAAACCCAAAAUUUCCACAGCUUCCUUCACUUUACCCUCCUUGCAAAAAGCAUCCAGUUCAUCAAUAGUGCCCAUGAACUGCCUAUUUUCAGCUGUUUCAACCUAAUCAUCAGGUCUCACACUGUU
Long non-coding RNA from Telopea speciosissima, 149 nucleotides. RefSeq lists it as uncharacterized. The transcript has 3 exons. The record is from RefSeq and is a predicted model, not a curated record. NCBI's taxonomy places the organism in Eukaryota, Viridiplantae, Streptophyta, Magnoliopsida, Proteales, Proteaceae.